Molecule: ribosomal RNA, 73 nt
Filed under: bacterium TH3
Lineage: Bacteria; Bacillati; Actinomycetota; Acidimicrobiia
Description: partial 16S ribosomal RNA
Rfam family: Bacterial small subunit ribosomal RNA
Source: RNAcentral
CCAAUGGAGAGUUUGAUCCUGGCUCAGGACGAACGCUGGCGGCGUGCCUAACACAUGCAAGUCGUACGNUGGC